AUCCUUCUGGUUCAUAUAGGUGAUGAAUGGGUUGGUCACUGGUCUUCAGUGAGAUGUGCUGCCUUUUAAUACCUUGUUACACAAAGGCACAUUACCCUUCUGAUA
Small nucleolar RNA from Scleropages formosus (Asian bonytongue), 105 nucleotides. Ensembl annotates it as small nucleolar RNA U13. Lineage: Eukaryota; Metazoa; Chordata; Actinopteri; Osteoglossiformes; Osteoglossidae. The record is from Ensembl.